Molecule: microRNA precursor, 207 nt
Organism: Oryza sativa Indica Group (long-grained rice)
Lineage: Eukaryota; Viridiplantae; Streptophyta; Magnoliopsida; Poales; Poaceae
Rfam family: MIR812 microRNA precursor family
Source: Rfam
AAUAAGUGCAGUUUUGCACUAUUCACGUUCAACGUUUGACCGUUCGUCUUAUUUGAAUUUUUUUAUGAUUAGUAUUUUUAUUGCUAUUAGAUGAUAAAACAUGAAUAAUACUUUAUGUGUGACUAAAUAUUUGUAAAUUUUUCACAAAUUUUUCAAAUAAGACGGACGGUCAAACGUUGGACACGGAUAUCCACGGCUGCACUUAUU